GAUUAGAUUAAAUAAUUAAUGUAGUUUAGUAAUUAACUAAUUAAUUAGUUUAAGAGAUGGUGGAGAAGGAGAUGCAGUAGAAUCUGGGGAGGAUUUUUUGAAUGUAAAUAUUAAAAGGUAAAUUUCAAAUACCAUUUCUGUGAUUUCGCACUUUAUCAUUUUAGUAUUUUAUAAUUUAAAAUGUAUCAAUUUAGUAUUCUGUAAUUUUAUUUUAUUUCUUUUCGUCAACUUCUACUCUAUCUAUAGUUUAUUGAAUAUUUCUUUUAGUACCCUUUAAUUUUAAUUCUGUCACUGAUUUAAUAAAAAAAAAAUUAAUAUAGAGAAUAAUAAAAAGAGAAAAAUAAAAUAAUAGGGCACGAACAUGAUACACUUUAAACNUGAAAGCUUUCCAAAGAAGAAAGAAGUAAAGAUACUGGCUUGACUUUUUAGCUUUCACUGCGGAUAGACUUUUUUUUUUUUUUUUGGAUUGUUUGUUUGUGUUCACAACUAUAAAUGGUGGGGGUAGAGGAUGCGGACUGAGUUAUUACGGUGGGACCCACGGCCCCGGAGCUCCACCGGAUCAGCCCAAGUAAUAAUAGAGUCCCCCCCUCGCUCAUCCCAUCACCUCUCUCUCUCUCUCAUCAACUCUAAUAUACUUUUUAAAUUUUAGGUAAAAUUUACUCAAGUUCUUAAACUUUUAUUAAGUUUAAUAACUAAUAUUUCACUGAUCGUUCCUAGCACAAGUAACAAAAAAUUUGAUAAUUGAUACUCGAGAUUCCAGAUAAUUCGAAACUCAAUUGCUUCACAUUUUCAGCUAAAUUUACUUUUAAAAAUAAAAUUAAAAAAGUAGGUAGCAUGCUAUCCUUCUCUCUAAAAAAAAACGUUCACAUUCCAAAUAUUUAGUUGUGAUUUAUUUUAUUCUUUCGGGAGAAAAAAUACUAUGUUUCAGUAAGAAUGAAUUUAUUGGUUCGUAAAUUUGAAUAAAAAUAUCGAUAUAUCAGUAAUAUUCUUUCAUCCAAAAUUGCUCUGAGAGCUCGAAAACUAAAGUGAAAUCUAUGAUAUUUUUUUUGUGAUUAUUUUCAUGGAAAAGCUCUAAUUGUCCUUCAUCCAUCUCUCCUUUUCCCCUCUCUUUCUCUCUCUUUCUCUCACUUAACUUNAAAGUUAAAAAAACCCUGAUUAGAUUAAAUAAUUAAUGUAGUUUAGUAAUUAACUAAUUAAUUAGUUUAAGAGAUGGUGGAGAAGGAGAUGCAGUAGAAUCUGGGGAGGAUUUUUUGAAUGUAAAUAUUAAAAGGUAAAUUUCAAAUACCAUUUCUGUGAUUUCGCACUUUAUCAUUUUAGUAUUUUAUAAUUUAAAAUGUAUCAAUUUAGUAUUCUGUAAUUUUAUUUUAUUUCUUUUCGUCAACUUCUACUCUAUCUAUAGUUUAUUGAAUAUUUCUUUUAGUACCCUUUAAUUUUAAUUCUGUCACUGAUUUAAUAAAAAAAAAAUUAAUAUAGAGAAUAAUAAAAAGAGAAAAAUAAAAUAAUAGGGCACGAACAUGAUACACUUUAAACCAUAUGUUACUAAAGUAAGAAAGUAUAAAACUAUAAGGGUAAUAUUUAAAGUUUUUUCAAUAUUAAUUAAGGAUAUCGUUUUCUAAUAAU
This 1620-nucleotide long non-coding RNA is filed under the name Ananas comosus (pineapple). Its description in RNAcentral is "long non-coding RNA (ACOM_LNC006039)". Lineage: Eukaryota; Viridiplantae; Streptophyta; Magnoliopsida; Poales; Bromeliaceae. The record is from RNAcentral.